RNAcentral lists this ribosomal RNA (522 nucleotides) under uncultured Glomeromycotina. RNAcentral's name for it is "SSU rRNA". It matches the Rfam family "Eukaryotic small subunit ribosomal RNA", at positions 569 to 1092 of the family's 1831-position model. The record is from RNAcentral. Lineage: Eukaryota; Fungi; Glomeromycota.
AGCAGCCGCGGUAAUUCCAGCUCCAAUAGCGCAUAUUAAAGUUGUUGCAGUUAAAAAGCUCGUAGUUGAAUUUCGGGGUUAGUAGGUUGGUCAUGCCUCUGGUAUGUACUGGUCUCACUGAUUCCUCCUUCCUGAUGAACCUUAAUGCCAUUAAUUUGGUGUUUUGGGGAAUUUGGACUGUUACUUUGAAAAAAUUAGAGUGUUUAAAGCAAGCUAACGCUUGAAUACAUUAGCAUGGAAUAAUGAAAUAGGACGUUCGAUCCUAUUUUGUUGGUUUCUAGGAUUGACGUAAUGAUUAAUAGGGAUAGUUGGGGGCAUUAGUAUUCAAUUGUCAGAGGUGAAAUUCUUGGAUUUAUUGAAGACUAACUACUGCGAAAGCAUUUGCCAAGGAUGUUUUCAUUAAUCAAGAACGAAAGUUAGGGGAUCGAAGACGAUCAGAUACCGUCGUAGUCUUAACCAUAAACUAUGCCGACUAGGGAUCGGAUGAUGUUAAUUUUUUAAUGACUCAUUCGGCGCCUUACG